This 203-nucleotide long non-coding RNA is filed under the name Mytilus galloprovincialis (Mediterranean mussel). Lineage: Eukaryota; Metazoa; Mollusca; Bivalvia; Mytilida; Mytilidae. The record is from RNAcentral.
GUUUUAUUGGUGGAGGAAGCCAGAAUGCCCGGAAUAAAUCACAGACCUUCGAUAAGAAAACUGACGAUCCUAGUCAAUUAAGAUUGGAGUAGAGUGCGUUUGCACGUGCGGGGUUCGAAAUCACAACCUCAUUAUUGAUUGGCUAGUGAUUAUAGGAAUAGAACUUCUUAGACCAAUUGGUCACCGAGGACCCGUAGAGCAAU